UGAUUAUUUGAGUCAGUGACAUGCUCAAGUAUAGCUCAGUCUAAGAAUAGAGCAUCCAGUCAGACUAUUCAUAGCAGUGGCUGCUACCUUAGUAUAGCAAGUAUCAUUGUUAAAGGGCUGUGCUAUUGCUGCCAUGGAAAUAAGAGCCUUCUGUUCCUGUUUUUCUUCUAUUUUCUUCCUCCGGCUUGACGUCAGUGCAGCUGUGAAGUGUGCAGCUCAACCCAGCAGCCGUCCAAGGUACGACCAUGCUUUAGUCAUGUCUGUCUGCAGAAGAGCUCGUCAACGUUGGCUUUGUGCACUUACAAGAGCCUUGGGGCAGAAAACACUGUUUUCUCUCUGGCAUUUACAAUGAAGAUACAGUUGCUAACUGAUCCACCCCACCGAAACAAUGGCCCCUGUUGAUGACUUCAUAAAGAAACUGUAAACACGGGCACAUGAGAGAAUACAGCUCCCUGUGAAAAUAUGGACAUGCCUUUCAAACCCUUCCAUACAGCAUGAUGCAUUCUCAAGAAAAGGCUGGAACUCAGUCUGUGCAGAUGUGGAAGUCUCUGAGUCAUCUGUUUGCCAUUAUUCACUUCAUAUUACUAAAGUUGUAGUGGAAUCAUCUCUAGACGUCUUAGUUGGAAUUUAAGGGAAUAUAGUGUGAGUCAGUACAGUCUUGUGGGAAGUCAGAGCACACCCAUAGUUUUGAAGAUGUGGGGUCUAGCACGUGCAAUAAAGGCAGACUCUUUCAUCCAGUAUGCAAGUGGUCAGAACAAUGAAGAUGAUGAUCAGGAGGAACAGAGCAUAGUACAGUUUUCUCUCAAGUUUUCCUUGUAUGGAGUAGUUACUGUAAUACUUGUGUUCAACAUUAAUCCAGUGACCAAAGAACUACAAGUAUUUAAAAUCUUAGGUGUGAAUCCUGUCAGCUCAGAAUUGUGAUGGAUGUUGAUCUAGAGUUAUGUUAAAGUCAUAUGCUUACAUGACUGUUCAGACUGAGGUUGCACUGAAAAACAUCUGACUUUUAUCUGAUUUAGCACUAAAGUGGCACAAAUGAGAAUAAAAAAGAAAAAACUGAUUCCAUAUGGUUUGUGUUGUUCACAAUGUUAUAUUGUAGUUAUAUUUGGGGCACUUUCGCCUAAGCCACUUUGUUUUUUGACUGAGGGGUAGUAUUGGAAUCAAUUGAACUGCUAAGCAGUUUAUGAUCUUGCGAUUUGUCUGGUGGUAGCUGCUCUGUCAUCCUUUCAUAUGCAGGAAAAUAUUAAAAAAGCAAGUGCAGAAUGUCUA
Molecule: long non-coding RNA, 1266 nt
Organism: Carassius auratus (goldfish)
Lineage: Eukaryota; Metazoa; Chordata; Actinopteri; Cypriniformes; Cyprinidae
Exons: 2
Source: RefSeq, a predicted model, not a curated record